GGGCGCAUAGCUCAGCGGGAGAGCACCUGCCUUACAAGCAGGGGGUCGCAGGUUCGAACCCUGCUGCGCCCACCA
RNAcentral lists this transfer RNA (75 nucleotides) under Saccharomonospora viridis. It matches the Rfam family "tRNA". From Rfam's summary of the family: Transfer RNA (tRNA) molecules are approximately 80 nucleotides in length. RNAcentral also lists the same sequence under 3 other names. Lineage: Bacteria; Bacillati; Actinomycetota; Actinomycetes; Pseudonocardiales; Pseudonocardiaceae. The record is from RNAcentral.